GGGCCCAGCCAGUCUUCCCCAGGCAUGGGGGGCUCAGCCACUUGGUGGGCUCAGCAAAUCUGGAACAUUUGCAUAUCCAGAUGGCCAAGCCUUGAAUUUCAAAGAUUUCCCCAUGAAGAGGCAGCUGGCUUCCGGGUGGUGGCCCUGGACGCUCACACCUGUUGGGCUGGAAGACUGAGGAGACCAGGGCCCCAAAAUACAAGAUAAACUUGAAACAGACAAGAACAUUUCCCAGGCCCUAUCACUAGCCCCCAACUCUGCUCCUUCUGUCCCCAGGCCUCCAUCUUCAAGGUCUAAGGAGCCAUGUGCUGGUUGCCCAGGGUAGGUGGGCAGGCAAGUGAUAAUGGACUGCUGCCUCUGUGACCUGCUAGAAAUAUGGGAUCUCCUUGUUCACAUGCAGCAAUAGACAGAUCUUUUCCUGCAUGUAACCUGGAGCUAGGUGGGCAGAGGUCCUAACCUGGAGCCUGGUUCACCUAUUCACACACAGAGACAUGGCUGCCAUAGCAACGGGGAGGGCAGAGGGGAGCUGGCAGCUUGACACUUCCAGUAGGCUUUGGGCUGAAAUACAAGUCACUAACCUUUUCCUUCACUGUAAGGCUGAGAACCUGACUGAACUUGGCACUGGCCCAUCUGAUUCUGGAUAUACCACGCACAAAGCUUAAGUCCGAAAGAAUCUCCCCACUCCAACAAAAGCCCCUCUCAGGUUGUGCCCAUGCAGAUUCACUGACCACACGCCUCACGGUUGUCACAGCUAUGGGUCACCACUGCCCUCUGCUGGCCACUCAAGGCACUAGCAUCCACUCAGACACCAAAGCCAUCAUCUCACUCCCCACAUAAGCAAACACACUUCAGUCAUCACCUCCAUCUGUGGGCACUGAAAUGCAACUCCAUUCAGCCGUCCUCUGAGCCAGGGGGCUGACAGGAGACAGGAAGAACAGGGACCACCUCAGGGACACAAU
This 959-nucleotide long non-coding RNA is filed under the name Homo sapiens (human). Its description in RNAcentral is "HSALNT0095167". The record is from RNAcentral. Lineage: Eukaryota; Metazoa; Chordata; Mammalia; Primates; Hominidae.